GCGAAUUGUCCCAUAUAUUUGAGCUUCAGAAACCACUUUGCCAUAGUUAAUAUCAUUACCCAAAAUGGAAAUCACCUAUUUAUAACUAUAAUUUAUCAGAAAAUUGAAUAACUCUCCGAUUUUUCUACAAUUCGCUAGGCCCAGACCGACCGGCCGAGUCACGCCUAGCGCGAUUCCGAACAUGGCUUCAGACUAAUCCAAACACAAAGCCACUGUCUGUGUUUUCAUGAAUCAGUUUCUCUUACUCUACCUCUACGUCUCCCAUCUUUACUCCGUAAAUCAAUAAUGGACCUCCUGCAUUCCGCUUUAUAUCUAAACAGAGGAACCCUUUUUCUCUGAUUCUCUCAUCGAUUCUUCUUCCGGUCGAAUUUAGUACAUCUUCUCUGAAAAGACUUCAUAUGCUGCUCCAGUUGCUAAAGCCGUUGAUCCUUGAUGAAAAGGAAUGUAGCUUCAGCUUCCAUGUUUUCAGAAACCAAGAUAGGUUCUUCUCAGAAGCCCUAGCCCCCAACUAUUUAUUCGGUAACUACCGCUCUUCGAACCAGCAAGAAGAAGAGGAAAGUUUGUAGUCGACGGUGUGUUCUACGCUAAGUUAUAUGAGGUGCUGACUAGGGAGCUAGCAGAGGAUGGUUGGUUACUCAGGUGUGGAGGUUAGGGUUACUCCGAUGAGGACAUGGAUUAUCAUCAGAG
This is a long non-coding RNA of Brassica oleracea var. oleracea, 687 nucleotides long. RefSeq lists it as uncharacterized. The transcript is spliced from 3 exons. Lineage: Eukaryota; Viridiplantae; Streptophyta; Magnoliopsida; Brassicales; Brassicaceae. The record is from RefSeq and is a predicted model, not a curated record.